CGGAGUGUAGCUCAGCUUGGUAGAGCACCACGUUCGGGACGUGGGGGCCGGAGGUUCGAAUCCUCUCACUCCGACCA
RNAcentral lists this transfer RNA (77 nucleotides) under Pseudomonadales bacterium. RNAcentral describes it as "tRNA-Pro". It matches the Rfam family "tRNA". From Rfam's summary of the family: Transfer RNA (tRNA) molecules are approximately 80 nucleotides in length. Their secondary structure includes four short double-helical elements and three loops (D, anti-codon, and T loops). Further hydrogen bonds mediate the characteristic L-shaped molecular structure. tRNAs have two regions of fundamental functional importance: the anti-codon, which is responsible for specific mRNA codon recognition, and the 3' end, to which the tRNAs corresponding amino acid is attached (by aminoacyl-tRNA synthetases). tRNAs cope with the degeneracy of the genetic code in two manners: having more than one tRNA (with a specific anti-codon) for a particular amino acid; and 'wobble' base-pairing, i.e. permitting non-standard base-pairing at the 3rd anti-codon position. The record is from RNAcentral. Lineage: Bacteria; Pseudomonadati; Pseudomonadota; Gammaproteobacteria; Pseudomonadales. RNAcentral also lists the same sequence under 3 other names.